RNAcentral lists this ribosomal RNA (261 nucleotides) under uncultured bacterium. RNAcentral's name for it is "partial 16S ribosomal RNA". It matches the Rfam family "Bacterial small subunit ribosomal RNA", at positions 92 to 354 of the family's 1533-position model. The record is from RNAcentral.
CGAGUGGCGGACGGGUGAGUAACGCGUGGGUAACCUGCCUUACACAGGGGGAUAACACCUGGAAACAGGUGCUAAUACCGCAUAAGCGCACAGGGCCGCAUGGCCCGGUGUGAAAACUCCGGUGGUGUAAGAUGGACCCGCGUCUGAUUAGCUUGUUGGCGGGGUAGAGGCCCACCAAGGCGACGAUCAGUAGCCGGCCUGAGAGGGUGGACGGCCACAUUGGGACUGAGACACGGCCCAAACUCCUACGGGAGGCAGCAG